GAUGAACGCUAGCGGCAGGCCUAACACAUGCAAGUCGAGGGAGAGGUUACCUUCGGGUAACCAAAACCGGCGCACGGGUGCGUAACGCGUAUACAAUCUGCCUUUCACAUAGGGAUAGCCCGAAGAAAUUUGGAUUAAUACCUAAUGGUAUAUAAGAGCGGCAUCGUUUUUAUAUUAAAGCUACGGUGGUGAAAGAUGAGUAUGCGUUCUAUUAGCUAGUUGGAGAGGUAACGGCUCCCCAAGGCGACGAUAGAUAGGGGUUCUGAGAGGGAUGUCCCCCACACGGGUACUGAGAUACGGACCAGACUCCUACGGGAGGCAGCAGUGAGGAAUAUUGGACAAUGGUCGGAAGACUGAUCCAGCCAUGCCGCGUGCAGGAUGAAGGUCGUAUGGAUUGUAAACUGCUUUUGUAAGGGAAGAAUAAGGAGUACGUGUACUUUGAUGACGGUACCUUACGAAUAAGCAUCGGCUAACUCCGUG
This 480-nucleotide ribosomal RNA is filed under the name uncultured bacterium. Its description in RNAcentral is "partial 16S ribosomal RNA". It matches the Rfam family "Bacterial small subunit ribosomal RNA", at positions 28 to 507 of the family's 1533-position model. The record is from RNAcentral.